UUCGCUAGGGGUGCCCUGUGUCGCAGACAGAGGGCUGAGAGAGUCCCUUUGAACCUGAUUGAGAUCAUCCUCGCGCAGGGAAGCUGU
RNAcentral lists this non-coding RNA (87 nucleotides) under uncultured Comamonas sp. Its description in RNAcentral is "TPP riboswitch (THI element)". It matches the Rfam family "TPP riboswitch aptamer (THI element)", at positions 8 to 91 of the family's 105-position model. From Rfam's summary of the family: Vitamin B(1) in its active form thiamin pyrophosphate (TPP) is an essential coenzyme that is synthesised by coupling of pyrimidine and thiazole moieties in bacteria. The previously detected thiamin-regulatory element, thi box was extended, resulting in a new, highly conserved RNA secondary structure, the THI element, which is widely distributed in eubacteria and also occurs in some archaea. Analysis of operon structures identified a large number of new candidate thiamin-regulated genes, mostly transporters, in various prokaryotic organisms. The record is from RNAcentral. Lineage: Bacteria; Pseudomonadati; Pseudomonadota; Betaproteobacteria; Burkholderiales; Comamonadaceae.